This 76-nucleotide microRNA precursor is filed under the name Schistosoma mansoni. RNAcentral's name for it is "mir-3492 microRNA precursor family". It matches the Rfam family "mir-3492 microRNA precursor family". The record is from Rfam by way of RNAcentral. Lineage: Eukaryota; Metazoa; Platyhelminthes; Trematoda; Strigeidida; Schistosomatidae.
AGCUUUCUGGAUUCGUGCCGAGAUUUUGUCAGACGCUAAACCCCUGAGUGAUAAGACUUCUAAGAUAAGUGAAGUG